RNAcentral lists this ribosomal RNA (498 nucleotides) under uncultured bacterium. Its description in RNAcentral is "partial 16S ribosomal RNA". It matches the Rfam family "Bacterial small subunit ribosomal RNA", at positions 28 to 508 of the family's 1533-position model. The record is from RNAcentral.
GAUGAACGCUGGCGGCGUGCCUAAUACAUGCAAGUCGAGCGAACGGACGAGAAGCUUGCUUCUCUGAUGUUAGCGGCGGACGGGUGAGUAACACGUGGAUAACCUACCUAUAAGACUGGGAUAACUUCGGGAAACCGUAGCUAAUACCGGAUAAUAUUUUGAACCGCAUGGUUCAAAAGUGAAAGACGGUCUUGCUGUCACUUAUAGAUGGAUCCGCGCUGCAUUAGCUAGUUGGUAAGGUCACGGCUUACCAAGGCAACGAUGCAUAGCCGACCUGAAAGGGUGGACGGCCACACUUGAACUGAGACACGGUCCAGACUCCUACGGGAGGCAGCAGGAGGGAAUCUUCCGCAAUGGGCGAAAGCCUGACGGAGCAACGCCGCGGGAGUGAGGAAGGUCUUCGGAUCGUAAAACUCUGUUAUUAGGGAAGAACAUAUGUGUAAGUAACUGUGCACAUCUUGACGGUACCUAAUCAGAAAGCCACGGCUAACUACGUGC